This 509-nucleotide ribosomal RNA is filed under the name uncultured bacterium. RNAcentral's name for it is "bacterial SSU rRNA". It matches the Rfam family "Bacterial small subunit ribosomal RNA", at positions 12 to 518 of the family's 1533-position model. The record is from RNAcentral.
UUCGAUUCUGGCUCAGGAUGAACGCUGGCGGCGUGCUUAACACAUGCAAGUCGAACGAGGCUAUACGGCGGAAGUUUCGGAUGGAAGCGGUAUAGACCGAGUGGCGGACGGGUGAGUAACGCGUGGGGAACCUGCCCCAUUCCGGGGGAUACAGUUGGAAACGACUGUUAAUACCGCAUAAGCGCACGGAAGGACAUCCUUCAGUGUGAAAAACUGAGGUGGAAUGGGGAUGGGCCCCCGCGUCUGAUUAGCCCAGUUGGCAGGGUAACGGCCUACCAAAGCGACGAUCAGUAGCCGGCCUGAGAGGGCGACCGGCCACAUUGGGACUGAGACACGGCCCAAACUCCUACGGGAGGCAGCAGUGGGGAAUAUUGCACAAUGGGGGAAACCCUGAUGCAGCGACGCCCGCGUGAGUGAAGAAGUAUUUCGGUAUGUAAAGCUCUAUCAGCAGGGAAGAAGAUGACGGUACCUGCACAAGAAGCCCCGGCUAACUACGUGCCAGCAGCUGC